RNAcentral lists this ribosomal RNA (207 nucleotides) under uncultured Chlorobaculum sp. RNAcentral describes it as "partial 16S ribosomal RNA". It matches the Rfam family "Bacterial small subunit ribosomal RNA", at positions 568 to 775 of the family's 1533-position model. The record is from RNAcentral. Lineage: Bacteria; Pseudomonadati; Chlorobiota; Chlorobiia; Chlorobiales; Chlorobiaceae.
UGCGCAGGCGGAUUAAUAAGUCGGGGGUUAAAUCCAUGUGCUUAACACAUGCACGGCUUCCGAUACUGUUGAUCUAGAGUCUCGAAGAGGAAGGUGGAAUUUCCGGUGUAACGGUGGAAUGUGUAGAUAUCGGAAAGAACACCAGUGGCGAAGGCAGCCUUCUGGUCGAGUACUGACGCUCAUGCACGAAGCGUGGGGAGCAAACAG